AAUCAACGCUGGCGGCGUGCCUAACACAUGCAAGUCGAACGCGAAAGGGGCUUCGGCCCUGAGUAGAGUGGCGUCCGGGUGAGUAACGCGUGGGUAAUCUGCCGUUGGGUGGGGAAUAACUAGUCGAAAGAUUAGCUAAUACCGCAUAAUGUAGUCUUUAUAUUGAAGAUUAUUAAAGCAGCAAUGCGCCUAACGAUGAGCCUGCGUCUGAUUAGUUUGUUGGUGGGGUAAUGGCCCACCAAGACUACUAUCAGUAGCUGGUCUGAGAGGACGGCCAGCCACAAUGGCACUGAAACACGGGCCAUACUCCUACGGGAGGCAGCAGUGGGGAAUUUUGCGCAAUGAGCGAAAGCUUGACGCAGCAACGCCGCGUGAAGGAUGAAAUCCUUCGGGAUGUAAACUUCGCAAGUAUGGGAAGAAAUAAAUGACGGUACCAUAUGUAAGCCCCGGCUAACUCCGUGC
This 462-nucleotide ribosomal RNA is filed under the name uncultured bacterium. RNAcentral describes it as "bacterial SSU rRNA". It matches the Rfam family "Bacterial small subunit ribosomal RNA", at positions 32 to 508 of the family's 1533-position model. The record is from RNAcentral.